GUGAAUCAUCGAAUCUUUGAACGCAAAUUGCACUCUCUGGCAUUCGGGAGCGUAUGUCUGUUUGAGGGUUAGUAUAAAUAAAAAUCUAGGUGUUGUUGGUUUGUGACCCAUCGGAAUUGGGUUAUUUUUGAUCUUUUAAUAAGUGGAAGUGACCUAAAUUUGAUACCUUGUGCAUAUUAGACGUAAAUAAUAUUAUUUUUUUAUCCGUCUGGAGUUGCCAACUCUUUAUUAGGUAUGACCAUGCUUUUUGUGGCAUCGUAACUAUAA
RNAcentral lists this unclassified non-coding RNA (267 nucleotides) under Glomeromycota sp. Its description in RNAcentral is "partial internal transcribed spacer 2". The stretch from base 1 to 71 matches the Rfam family "5.8S ribosomal RNA", at positions 84 to 154 of the family's 154-position model. The record is from RNAcentral. Lineage: Eukaryota; Fungi; Glomeromycota.